GUGGUUAAGUGUGCAAGCUCGGAAGUGACGCAGCUGGGUUCCAAUCCUAAAUUCUGCCUCUUGCCAGCUCUGCAUAAACUGGUGGCAAACUACUUCACUUCUGCAAGCCUCCUGCGCCAUGCCUACAGAUACAGGGUCCUGGAAGAGUGCAAGGCAUCUGCUCAGGAAAGGUCUAUGGUGAUGACCAGACGUCAGAGCACAGAAGCUGAAGACAGUCCCACCCUGUUGGUCAUGCUGAAUUCUACAAAGAAUCUCUCCCAUUGGGCCUCCCACAAAUCCACCAAAGGGAACUGCCUGAAACCUCACUAAUGAACCCACAUCCCUAGCAUUUUCUUCUGCAUAAAUAGAGGACCUGCUUCUUGACAUUGGUCACUCACUGAGCACGACGGUGUAAUAUAUUUAAUUCUUAACCAAACUGAUGCUAGUGUAAUAAAAAUGGUGACAACAA
Long non-coding RNA from Lagenorhynchus albirostris (white-beaked dolphin), 448 nucleotides. RefSeq lists it as uncharacterized. The record is from RefSeq and is a predicted model, not a curated record. NCBI's taxonomy places the organism in Eukaryota, Metazoa, Chordata, Mammalia, Artiodactyla, Delphinidae. The transcript has 2 exons.